GUGGGCUACCAACAGUCCAGGUUUUGUUAGUAUCUCCAUUUGAAUAAAAAAGGGAAAUACAGAAAUCCUGGACUGUUGGUGGUCCAUAGGAUUG
Pelobates cultripes (western spadefoot toad) is the source of this 94-nucleotide non-coding RNA. NCBI's taxonomy places the organism in Eukaryota, Metazoa, Chordata, Amphibia, Anura, Pelobatidae. The record is from the annotation of a GenBank genome assembly.